RNAcentral lists this ribosomal RNA (664 nucleotides) under Secundilactobacillus malefermentans. Its description in RNAcentral is "bacterial SSU rRNA". It matches the Rfam family "Bacterial small subunit ribosomal RNA", at positions 57 to 687 of the family's 1533-position model. The record is from RNAcentral. Lineage: Bacteria; Bacillati; Bacillota; Bacilli; Lactobacillales; Lactobacillaceae.
GCAGUCGAACGCAUCCCGUUGAUUUGAAGUGCUUGCACUGAUAAUUAACAUCGGAUGAGUGGCGAACUGGUGAGUAACACGUGGGUAACUUGCCCAAAAGUAGGGGAUAACAUUUGGAAACAGGUGCUAAUACCGUAUAACAACGAAAAUCGCAUGAUUUUCGUUUGAAAGAUGGUUUCGGCUAUCACUUUUGGAUAGACCCGCGGUGCAUUAGCUAGUUGGUAGAGUAAUGGUUUACCAAGGCAAUGAUGCAUAGCCGACCUGAGAGGGUAAUCGGCCACAUUGGGACUGAGACACGGCCCAAACUCCUACGGGAGGCAGCAGUAGGGAAUCUUCCACAAUGGACGAAAGUCUGAUGGAGCAACGCCGCGUGAGUGAAGAAGGGUUUCGGCUCGUAAAACUCUGUUGUUGGAGAAGAACGAACGUGAGAGUAACUGUUCACGUUGUGACGGUAUCCAACCAGAAAGCCACGGCUAACUACGUGCCAGCAGCCGCGGUAAUACGUAGGUGGCAAGCGUUAUCCGGAUUUAUUGGGCGUAAAGAGAGUGCAGGCGGUUUGUUAAGUCUGAUGUGAAAGCCUUCGGCUCAACCGAAGAAGUGCAUUGGAAACUGAUAAACUUGAGUGCAGAAAAGGACAGUGGAACUCCAUGUGUAGCGGUGAAAU